CGCGUAGUCGGCUUAGAUAGUCUGAUGUUAAAUUUCAGGGCUUAACCCUGAAACCGCAUCGGAAACGUUUAAGCUAGAGUGAACAAGAGGUAGGCGGAACGUGUAGUGUAGCGGUGAAAUGCGUUGAUAUUACACGGAACACCAAAAGCGAAGGCAGCCUACUGGUGUUUUACUGACGAUGAGGUGCGAAAGUGUGGGUAUCGAACAGGAUUAGAUACCCUGGUAGUCC
This 229-nucleotide ribosomal RNA is filed under the name uncultured bacterium. RNAcentral describes it as "partial 16S ribosomal RNA". It matches the Rfam family "Bacterial small subunit ribosomal RNA", at positions 568 to 796 of the family's 1533-position model. The record is from RNAcentral.